AAUAUUGCACUGUAAUCUUUACUCGUUGAUAGAUCAUGAACUACUGAGCAAUUUCUAAACAUAUGAACAGAGUGUGUUAUCAUUUCGACCUUAACAUUGUAGUAUCGGGGA
Bombus impatiens (common eastern bumble bee) is the source of this 111-nucleotide long non-coding RNA. RefSeq lists it as uncharacterized. The transcript is spliced from 3 exons. Lineage: Eukaryota; Metazoa; Arthropoda; Insecta; Hymenoptera; Apidae. The record is from RefSeq and is a predicted model, not a curated record.